AACUUUAUAUUCAAAUAUGAUUUUAAAUUGCAAAUUUAAAGGUGGGUUAAUCCUAAAGUUU
Molecule: transfer RNA, 61 nt
Filed under: Photinus pyralis (common eastern firefly)
Lineage: Eukaryota; Metazoa; Arthropoda; Insecta; Coleoptera; Lampyridae
Description: tRNA-Cys
Source: RNAcentral